Lemur catta (Ring-tailed lemur) is the source of this 594-nucleotide long non-coding RNA. RefSeq lists it as uncharacterized. The transcript is spliced from 4 exons. Lineage: Eukaryota; Metazoa; Chordata; Mammalia; Primates; Lemuridae. The record is from RefSeq and is a predicted model, not a curated record.
CGGCAGCGGCGCCAGCAACGUCGCCCUGGUGAAACUUCUCCAUGCAGCCAAGCGACCCGGCGGCCUGAACUCCACCUGCUUGACUCCCGCUCGUCUGUCACUACGUGGCCAGAUGAGAACACCUGAGGCACUGAGAUAUGAAGUAAUGUAUUUGGAUUCCACAAGCUAGUAAGUGGCAAUGCCAGGAUCCAAACGCAAGGAGUCUAGCUCCACAGCCUGAGCUUCUAACCAAGAUCCUGAAGGCGAAAAUAAGCUGGUGUGGUAAAGUCAGACUUGGAAGUACUGCUGUGGCUGGAAUGCAGAGAUGGAUUUAUCAAGAAGCUAGAAGCUUGAAUCCAGGGCCCCUGACUUACAGAAAGCAUCUUCCAACGCCCUGGGAGACCUAGCAAUAAUCUUCUGCAGACCACAUAGGAAAGCAGACCCCACGUCAAGCAGUUUGGUGUUUAUCCAAGUCCCAAAGUGGAGAGAAGACAGAAUGCCCGCCCAGGUCACGGGCUGCAAGAAUUCCUUCGAGGAAGAAAACUUCUCUCUUGGAUCCUCUGAAUAUACGGCUCAUAUAGUUAACUGUUUUAAAAGACAAGAUGACAAAUUCUA